CAGUCGCCACGGGAAUACGCAGGGUGCAAGCGUUAAUCGGAAUUACUGGGCGUAAAGCGUGCGCAGGCGGUUCGUUAAGUCUGUUGUGAAAGCCCCGGGCUCAACCUGGGAAUGGCAAUGGAUACUGGCGAGCUAGAGUGUGUCAGAGGAUGGUGGAAUUCCCGGUGUAGCGGUGAAAUUCGUAGAUAUUGGGAAGAACACCGGUGGCGAAGGCGGCGACCUGGUCCUUGACUGACGCUGAGGCGCGAAAGCGUGGGGAGCAAACAGGAUUAGAUACCCCAGUAGUCCCUGUCUCUUAUAC
RNAcentral lists this ribosomal RNA (301 nucleotides) under uncultured bacterium. RNAcentral's name for it is "partial 16S ribosomal RNA". It matches the Rfam family "Bacterial small subunit ribosomal RNA", at positions 509 to 807 of the family's 1533-position model. The record is from RNAcentral.